RNAcentral lists this ribosomal RNA (417 nucleotides) under Rhodococcus sp. R10.47. RNAcentral's name for it is "bacterial SSU rRNA". It matches the Rfam family "Bacterial small subunit ribosomal RNA", at positions 85 to 516 of the family's 1533-position model. The record is from RNAcentral. Lineage: Bacteria; Bacillati; Actinomycetota; Actinomycetes; Mycobacteriales; Nocardiaceae.
GGGUACACGAGCGGCGAACGGGUGAGUAACACGUGGGUGAUCUGCCCUGCACUCUGGGAUAAGCUUGGGAAACUGGGUCUAAUACCGGAUAUGACCNCAUGNNGCAUGNGGUGUGGUGGAAAGAUUUAUCGGUGCAGGAUGGGCCCGCGGCCUAUCAGCUUGUUGGUGGGGUAAUGGCCUACCAAGGCGACGACGGGUAGCCGACCUGAGAGGGUGACCGGCCACACUGGGACUGAGACACGGCCCAGACUCCUACGGGAGGCAGCAGUGGGGAAUAUUGCACAAUGGGCGGAAGCCUGAUGCAGCGACGCCGCGUGAGGGAUGAAGGCCUUCGGGUUGUAAACCUCUUUCAGCAGGGACGAAGCGUGAGUGACGGUACCUGCAGAAGAAGCACCGGCUAACUACGUGCCAGCAGCC